Molecule: transfer RNA, 87 nt
Filed under: Nannocystis radixulma
Lineage: Bacteria; Pseudomonadati; Myxococcota; Nannocystales; Nannocystaceae
Description: tRNA-Leu
Rfam family: tRNA
About the family: Transfer RNA (tRNA) molecules are approximately 80 nucleotides in length. Their secondary structure includes four short double-helical elements and three loops (D, anti-codon, and T loops).
Source: RNAcentral
GCGCAGGUGACGGAACCUGGUAGACGACUGGCGCUCAGAACGCCAGGCCCCGAGCGGGGCGUGAGGGUUCGAAUCCCUCCCUGCGCA